GUAACGCUGGCGGCAUGCCCCACACAUACAAGUUGAACGGGUUUAAGCUUAUUAAUACUUAAACAAGUAGCGGACGGGUGAGUAACGCGUAAGAACCUACCUUUAGGUAAGGAAUAACUAUUGGAAACGAUAGAUAAUACCUUAUAAGCUUAUAGUAAAAGAUAAAAUCGCCUAAGGAUGGGCUUGCGUCUGAUUAGCUUUUGGUGAUUUAAAAGAUUCACCAAGGCAACGAUCAGUAGUUGGUCUAAGAGGAUGAUCAACCACACUGGGACUGAGACACGGCCCAGACCUCUACGGAGGGCAGCAGUGAGGAAUUUUCCGCAAUGGGCGAAAGCCUGACGGAGCAAUGCCGACGUGGAGGAUGAAAGCUUGUAGAGUCGUAAACUCCUUUUCUUAGUGAAGAAAUAAGACGGUAUCUAAGGAAUCAAGCAUCGGCCAAAAUCCGUGACCAGCAGCCGCGGUAAUCACGGAGGAUGCAA
Molecule: ribosomal RNA, 479 nt
Filed under: uncultured phototrophic eukaryote
Lineage: Eukaryota
Description: bacterial SSU rRNA
Rfam family: Bacterial small subunit ribosomal RNA
Source: RNAcentral